This 253-nucleotide ribosomal RNA is filed under the name uncultured bacterium. Its description in RNAcentral is "partial 16S ribosomal RNA". It matches the Rfam family "Bacterial small subunit ribosomal RNA", at positions 524 to 776 of the family's 1533-position model. The record is from RNAcentral.
UACGAAGGGGGCUAGCGUUGCUCGGAUUGACUGGGCGUAAAGGGCGCGUAGGCGGUUCGUACAGUCAGACGUGAAAUUCCUGGGCUCAACCUGGGGGCUGCGUUUGAUACGUGCGGACUUGAGUGCGGAAGAGGGUCGUGGAAUUCCCAGUGUAGAGGUGAAAUUCGCAGAUAUUGGGAAGAACACCGGUGGCGAAGGCGGCGACCUGGUCCGAUACUGACGCUGAGGCGCGAAAGCGUGGGGAGCAAACAGG